GCCGGGCGCGGUGGCACGUGCCUGUAGUCCCAGCUACUCGGGAGGCUGAGGUGGGAGGAUUGCUUGAGCGCAGGAGUUCUGGGCUGUAGUACACUAUGCCGAUCGGGUGUCCACACUAAGUUCAGCAUCAAUAUGGUGACCUCCCGGGAGCGGGGAACCACGAGAUUGCCUAGGGAGGGGUGAACCAGCCCAGCUUGGAAACGAAGGAGGUCAAAAAUCCUGUGCUGAUCAGUAGUGGGAUCGCGCCUGUGAAUAGCCACUGCACUCCAGCCUGGGCAAUAUAGGGAGACCCCGUCCCU
RNAcentral lists this signal recognition particle RNA (299 nucleotides) under Aotus nancymaae (Ma's night monkey). Its description in RNAcentral is "Metazoan signal recognition particle RNA (ENSANAG00000004389.1)". It matches the Rfam family "Metazoan signal recognition particle RNA". From Rfam's summary of the family: The signal recognition particle (SRP) is a universally conserved ribonucleoprotein. The record is from RNAcentral. Lineage: Eukaryota; Metazoa; Chordata; Mammalia; Primates; Aotidae.